Long non-coding RNA from Nasonia vitripennis (jewel wasp), 337 nucleotides. RefSeq lists it as uncharacterized. Lineage: Eukaryota; Metazoa; Arthropoda; Insecta; Hymenoptera; Pteromalidae. The transcript is spliced from 2 exons. The record is from RefSeq and is a predicted model, not a curated record.
GUUCGAGCUUUUCAGAGAGUACGUUUUCAUUCGCGCGCCGGCAGCUCUGAUGCAUAUGUGCUGUCGUCGCUUGUCCCCGUGAGCUUAAGUGAUUUACGGAGCCGAUGCUGACACCGGAUGAGGGAGAACUGUCAGGCCUCGUCGAUAGUUUUUAGAGGCGAUUAUAAAUGGAGGAGGAGGGAGAAUUUAGGGGUAUUUGGUGGCACCUCCGACGUGUAAGCAGAGUACAUUGGGAUGAUUAUAGAGACGGUAAGGUGAUCGGUUGCGCCGAGGUUCUACGCUGCGGUGACAUUUUUUAAAAUUUUAUUUUAAUAAAAGACCGGCUUUCAGCAACAAA